UGGGUUGUGGCUCAGUGGUAGAGCGCUUGCCUCACAUGUGUGAGUAACUGGGUUCAAUCUUCAGCAACACAU
Ictidomys tridecemlineatus (thirteen-lined ground squirrel) is the source of this 72-nucleotide non-coding RNA. The record is from Rfam. NCBI's taxonomy places the organism in Eukaryota, Metazoa, Chordata, Mammalia, Rodentia, Sciuridae.